This is a long non-coding RNA of Erpetoichthys calabaricus (reedfish), 559 nucleotides long. RefSeq lists it as uncharacterized. The transcript has 4 exons. The record is from RefSeq and is a predicted model, not a curated record. Lineage: Eukaryota; Metazoa; Chordata; Cladistia; Polypteriformes; Polypteridae.
UCUGAAUGAGCUGGGGGGAGCGGGCACAGGGGGCACAGCUGGGGGUGGGAGGGGGCAGAACAUCCUUACAGAAGAACAAAAAUCCUGGCGGAGCAUCCCAUAAAAUUAGGAGCAGACGUGUCAUGGUGACAGAUAAACAGCCUCUUCUGUUACCUCGGCAGCACUUGGCUCUGAUUGGUGGAUUGGUAAAGCAGUACAGAGGCAAACUGUAUUGGAGGCGUGGCCACAGAUAAUUGGCAUUUAGGAGGUGUGGUUACAGGCAGAUUGAUUUGGGAUGUGGUCAGAGGUGAACAGCAGUUAGGAGGUGUGGCUACAAGCAAAUUGAUUUGGGGUGUGGUCAGAGGUGAACAGCAGUUAGGAGGUGUGGCUACAAGCAAAUUGAUUUGGGGUGUGGUCAGAGGUGAACAGCAGUUAGGAGGUGUGGCUACAAGCAAAUUGAUUUGGGGUGUGGUCAGAGGUGAACAGCAGUUAGGAGGUGUGGCUACAAGCAAAUUGAUUUGGGGUGUGGUCAGAGGUGAACAGCAGUUAGGAGGUGUGGCUACAAGCAAAUUGAUUUGGG